UACGUAGGGGGCAAGCGUUGUCCGGACUUAUUGGGCGUAAAGAGCGUGUAGGCGGCCAUGUAGGUCCGUUGUGAAAACUCGAGGCUCAACCUCGAGACGCCGAUGGAAACCAUGUGGCUAGAGUCCGGAAGAGGAGAGUGGAAUUCCUGGUGUAGCGGUGAAAUGCGCAGAUAUCAGGAAGAACACCCGUGGCUAAGGCGGCUCUCUAGUACGGUACUGACGCUGAGACGCGAAAGCGUGGGGAGCGAACAGG
RNAcentral lists this ribosomal RNA (253 nucleotides) under uncultured bacterium. Its description in RNAcentral is "partial 16S ribosomal RNA". It matches the Rfam family "Bacterial small subunit ribosomal RNA", at positions 524 to 776 of the family's 1533-position model. The record is from RNAcentral.